GACGAACGCUGGCGGCGUGCUUAACACAUGCAAGUCGAACGGAAAGGCCCUGCUUUUGUGGGGUGCUCGAGUGGCGAACGGGUGAGUAACACGUGAGUAACCUGCCCUUGACUUUGGGAUAACUUCAGGAAACUGGGGCUAAUACCGGAUAGGAGCUCCUGCUGCAUGGUGGGGGUUGGAAAGUUUCGGCGGUUGGGGAUGGACUCGCGGCUUAUCGGCUUGUUGGUGGGGUAGUGGCUUACCAAGGCUUUGACGGGUAGCCGGCAUGAGAGGGUGACCGGCCACAUGACGACUGCGAGACGGCCCAGACUCGUACGGUAGGCAGCAGUGGGGAAUAUGGCACAAUGAGCGGAAGUCUGAUGCAGCAACCCCGCGUGCGUGAUGACGUCCUUCGGGGUGUAAACCGCUUUCGCCUGUGACGAAGCGUGAGUGACGGUAAUGGGUAAAGAAGCACCGGCUAACUACGUG
Molecule: ribosomal RNA, 468 nt
Filed under: uncultured bacterium
Lineage: Bacteria
Description: partial 16S ribosomal RNA
Rfam family: Bacterial small subunit ribosomal RNA
Source: RNAcentral